RNAcentral lists this ribosomal RNA (550 nucleotides) under Metacampanella tricolor. RNAcentral's name for it is "SSU rRNA". It matches the Rfam family "Bacterial small subunit ribosomal RNA", at positions 377 to 963 of the family's 1533-position model. The record is from RNAcentral. Lineage: Eukaryota; Fungi; Basidiomycota; Agaricomycetes; Agaricales; Campanellaceae.
ACAAGCUCGCAGGGUGACCGAGCUAACUGAAACAUAGAAUUUUUUAAAAUUCAUGAUGUCGUAAGGGAAAAUAAUGAUAAUACCUUACUAUGAGUGUCGUCCAAAUCUGGUGCCAGAAGACUCGGUAAGACCAGAGACGCAAACGUUAAUCAUCAUAAACAGGCGUAAAGGGUUUGUAGGCAGCUUUCACCAAACUAUGAUUACAAAAUAAAGUAGUUUAAUUGAAAGCUAGAAUCAAAAAGAGGUUAUAGUGUAUAACGCCUAGAGGAGGGCUGAUAUCCAUAGAUCCUAGGCAGAAUACUCAGGGCGAAGGCCACUCUCCACUACUGAUUGACGCUGAGAAACGAAGGUUAGGGUAGGAAAUAGGAUUAGAUACCCCGGUACUCCUUUCUGUAAACGAUGAAUGGUAGUCAUUAGUUUUAUAACUAGAGACGAAGUUAACACAAUAACCAUUCCGCCUUGUGAGUACUACUGCAAAGUAGAAAACAAAAAAAUUAGUCGGUCUCGAAGCAAACGGAGUGAAGCAUGUUAUUUAAUUCGUACUUCCGCA